RNAcentral lists this long non-coding RNA (560 nucleotides) under Chrysolophus pictus (golden pheasant). RNAcentral's name for it is "lncRNA (ENSCPIG00010003906.1)". The record is from RNAcentral. Lineage: Eukaryota; Metazoa; Chordata; Aves; Galliformes; Phasianidae.
GCGUGUCUCAGUGACAAGCUCUGCUGGUUGUGUCCUGCCCCUGUGACAGGUCUGAAGCAGACGUGAAACACCAAACAUGCUGUCCCAAAGGAGAGGGCGAAUAUCCUCUCCCAUCAAAAGGGAGAGUGACCUGAUUUCAGACUUGCUUUGGGCGAUGAGGGUGAGUGUUAUCCUUCCCUUCCAGCUAAUGGAUCUGACGGCUUGAGUAGGGGGACUGCCUGACCCACGAAGCAGUCUGAGGCCUGAGGAAGAGAUGCUGCUGACAGGCAGAACGAGGAUGCAGGCAGGGCCACCCAGGGAUUUUGUUCACAGAACGGAAUGAGCUGCAAAAGGGAUAAAGAUCAUUCACAGGAACCUUGAAAGAACUGCUUGAGCUCCAUGAAAUGAAGAUUAAAAAUAAAACAGGGAGGGGCAACAAGUCAGCUGACAGCUGCACUGUCAGCUGGUGUCACCAUGAGAAUGUGAUGGGAGAAGGGUUGGACCUGCAGGACCCUGUGCUGCAUGUGCAACCAUGGAGGAUGUCCUUACCACUGGUCAGUGCCAAAUUCACUGCAAGAUGA